GUUCGGUCAGAGCAGGCGACGGCGCUGGUGAGGUUGUCGAUGGUGGCUAUGAUGGAGAGGACGAACGGAGGAAGAUGGCGGCAAUUCAAGUGGCGACUGGCUUUACUGUUUAGCCGGUGGAGCCGACUGGUCUGCUGGCGGUUGAUUCACCGCAGCUGGCAGCAACUGGUUCCAUUGGAGUUUUGGUGGUGGGCGUUGGUUUGGCUGAGAAUGAUGGUUCGCCGGUCGGUAGUGGUUUCUUGAAUGAUGCUUCACCGAUCAUUACAUUUGGUAAAGCGACAACGACAAAAGGCAACACCAAUUUCACGGUUGGACUGACCAUUUUGGUAGAGCGGCAGCAUCGAUGGAGAGAAGAAAGUGGGACGACAGUGGCUGAUUUAUCAAAGGCGAAAGAGGGAAACCGACGAAUGAAGGGAUGAUUCGCCGUAAUGGACGCCAGAGAAUAUGGUGGUGGUGGCGGUUCGAGUGUUUUUUUUUAGAGAGAAUAUGGAGAGAGAGAGACAGGAAGUUAGGCGGGUUAUUUUUUAUGAGAAUGAAUUAGGAUUAGGUGUUUUGAACUAAGAAGGAAAAAGGAGAAGGGUUUGAUCUCAGCCGUUGGAUCAAUUAGGAUUAACGGUUGAGAUUAAAACCCUUUAAAAAGAGGUCAUGCAAAAAUUAAUUUGAAAUUAAAAUGUCAUUAAUUAGGCUAAAAUUGGUAUUAAUUGAAUACCAAUUGGCUAGAAUUGUAAUAAAUUGAGUAAAAUUGGAUAGAAAAUGGCAAAAAGAUAAAUGAAUUAUGCAAGGUGAUUUCAAAUUAGGUUGUUAUUUAAAUAAUAGUAGGGAUAAUAAUAAUAAUAAAAAAUAAAAAAUAAUGACAAUAUAUAUUAAUAAUAGAUAAUAAUAAUAAUAAUAAUAAUAAUAAUAAUAAUGCAACACUAGACAAUGUAUUUGCAAAAUGUGAGUGCACAAUUACGUGAAAAAAUAAUUUAAUAAAUAUUAAUAAAAUUGCAUAAAAUGUCAUAUUUGAAUUUAAAAAAUAUAAAAAAUGAUACUAAAGGAUAACAAAAUAAUUUAUGCAUUUUUUUAAAUUAUGAAUGUGACAUGUCAGUAUGUAUUUAAUGUAAGAAUAAUGUGUAAAAAUAUUAAAAGUAAUAUCGGGGGGUCAAAAUUGGGUGUCAACAGCUGCUCCUUCGUUGCUUGAGAAUAAUAAAAGAAUUGUCAAGCAACAAAAGUUGACGUAUUAGCCAAUUUUGUCCGACGGAUGAAGACGCAUUUGUGUUAAAGUGACAGGAGGUGGUUUUAAAAAUAGUGUGGCCGAGACUUCAGUUUUCAGUCGUCUACAUAUCUCUGGUCUUACGAGAAUCAGGUCGUUUGUAGUCCUAGAUUUAGGAAUGAACAAUAUUCCUAAAGAAUGUCAUUGAUAAAGAAUGGGGCAUCAAAAAUGAUAUUGAGGGUCGACAAGAUAGGGUGAAUAUGAUAAAAUGACGUGAGAGAGGGUGUGAAAAUGAAAGGUGUGUGAGUUAUGAGUUCAAGCUUAUGCGGUGGAUGGGUAAGUAGGUGAUACUUCGAAAACAGGAACAAAAAUUAUCUCUAUUUGUUAGUCUUUCUCUAUUACUUGCGUCUUUACGUGAUACUAAAUAACAAAGGUUAGACAUGUAAUAAAUAAACAAUUAGUAAACAUAAAGUGAAUGUGGAAACAGAGAAAGCAUAUCUAUUGUAUCGUGGAAUCGCGGGAUCAGCUUUUUGGCUUCACAUCGUGGGAUCAGCUUUUGGGCAUCUCGAUGCAUUGUGAAAUCGUGUGAUCAAUUGUUUGGAUUCUCAUCGUGGGAUCAGCUACUGCGCUUCUCGAUGCACUGUGGAAUCGUGUGAUUAGUUGUUUGGCUUCUCAUCGUGGGAUCAGUUUUUGAGCUUCUCGAUGCAUUGUGAUAUCGUGUGAUCAGCUGUUUGGCUUCUCGUUGUAGGAUCAUUUUUUGGGCUUCUCGAUGCAUUGUGAAAUCGUGUGAUUAGUUGUUUGGCUACUUAUCGUGCAAUCAGAUUUUGGGCUUCUCGAUGCAUUGUGAAAUUGUGUGAUCAGCUGUUUGACUAUUCAUUGUGGGAUCGGCUGUUUGGCUUUUCGUGAUGGAGUAAUUUGUACCUGUUGGUCCUGCCACUUUUAACUCAACUAGAUAAAAAUGGUUAGCACAGAUAUAUGUAUAUGUAAAGAAGAUUGAACAAUGUAGUGAAAACAACCAUUACAAUAAUGAUAAGAAGAGACAAGAAAGCGUAUCUAUUGUACUGUCGGAUUAACCAUUGGGUCUUCUCAUCAUGAUGUUGGACUGGCCGUUAGGCCUCUCGUGAUAGAGUGAUUGUUGUCAUAUAUACCUGUUAAUCUUGUACUCAAAGAAAAGUCGUCAGUCAAAAAGAAAUGUGGAUUUGUACCAUGCUCGAUUCCUCGGUCGUCAUUUUCUACUCCAUGAACCAUUGAAAUUUAUACUCCGUUGUGAUGAAAUUUUUGAAGAAUUCUCAAAAAUUUCUGCCCCAGUUUAAAAUGUAAAGCGCCUUUCGCACGCCAUUGUAAAUAUAUUAUUUACUCGUGAAAUUUUUGAGGAAUUCUCAAAAAUUUCUGCCCCAGUUUAGAAUGAAAGACGCCUUUUGCACGUCAUUGUGAAUUGAUAUAUUUUUUAAUUGUGAAAUUUUUGAGGUUUUCUUGAAACCUCAAAAUUUUUGCCCCAGUUUUUGUCUUUGGAAUCUUAUAUUCCUGCACCACUCAAAGAAAAUAUUAGUCUAAGAGAAAUGGUUGUCCUACAUUUGAAUAUCGUAACCUCAAUUGUAAUAUACCUUUAUAUGCUCAAGAGUUGGAUUAAUUAGCUUGAUGAUUUGGAAGUGUAGGAAUGUGAAAGAGAGUGGGGAAAAGUAUUUUAUUAGAUAAAGAUUAGACCCAGAGUGGGCUGCCUACGUAUCCAAAUGGAUGUCAGGUCGAACGUAGUUCAUAAGUACAAAGAAAUAUAGAGAAAACAAGAACAUGUUGCUAGCCGUAAGGCGGGUAAAAUAGUGACGUGAAACAGGAACGUUAAUUCAUGUGAUGUGUUUUAUGUUUCUUUCAUGAAUGUCCAGGAUCUUGUUGGACAGAGUAAGAGUGGAUUUGAUAAGCCUUAUUUUUCGGAUAGAGUAGGAUCAGAUCUGAUGAGCCCUGUUUCGGGGACCAAAAUCAGCGUGGAUUGCAUUAUAUCGAUAACCUUGUGUUUGAGGUAUGGAAGGUGACGAAUCCUCUUCCUCUUCCAUAGGUGGGUUUCUUCAUUUUAUGUUCUAAUUUCUUUCCAAUCAAAAUUAGACUCUCAAAGUUGUGAUUGACAAGGAAGAACAUUUUCUGAAAGUAUAUUCCAUCUAGUGUCUUGAGGAAAAUUUGGAUCACUUCCUCCUCAAAUACAGAAGGACGUAUUUUGGAAGCCUCUAACCUCCAUCGAGUUGCAUAUUCCUCAAAAGAUUCAUAGGCCACUCUCUUCAUCUCGAGCAAUUCUCGGAUUGUCGGACCAGUAUUGAUGUUAAACUUGUAUUGCCUCAUAAAGUCUUGAGCCAAUUCUUCCCAAUUAUGCCAUUUGUCGAAGUUUUGUUGGUCGAACCAUGUGAGUGUCAUUCCUGACAAACUCUGAAUAAACAAUCUCAUAAGGAGAGGCUCAUUGUGCCUUAUGCCAAUUAGUCUGCCACAAUAGUCCUUCAGAUGUGUGAUUUGAUCUCCAUGCCUAUCGAAUGUGUUGAAUUUGGGGAUUUUGUAUCCUAGAGGUAAAUCAAUCCACAGAAGUAUACAUAGUUUCUCAUACCUCAAGUUGUAGAUACCCCUAGAACGUAGUUCCUCAUUCAUCCUUCUUUCUAAGUAACAAAGCCUUCACCAACGUUCAUCUGAUUUGAUCCUUUUACUUUCAGAAGUGUCAUGUGCAAAAGAGAAUUGUCGAGAAGGGGUGUGGGUAAGGCGAGGAUAAGGAGACAUAGUGUUUUGCCUUGGGUGAUGAAAAGGAGGACUGACAGCUUUUCGAAUACUAAGCAUAUUUGUCAUGUUGCAGAUUGUUACUUGAGUUCGAUAUUCAAAUGCUAGACAACCUUAAAAUUAGAUAUGUAAGGCACACAAAAUUACCUCAUAACACAUAAGUUCGAAAUAUAAUAAAUAAAAAACAAAAGGUAUUCAAGGAUGAAGACUAAGAUUUAAUAAGUGAUAUAAGCGUAAAGAUUUAAGCUCCUGACGCACGAAACAGGACAGUGACAGGAUAUGAUAUCGAUUUUGCAAUUGUAAUUAUAAAGAAGGUAAGAGAGAUAGGAAAUGAAUUAGGUCGACUUUUGUUGAACAUCAGAUUUGUUGAUUACAUCAUAUUGUUGAUUCAUCCAACUCCAUAUAGAAAAAUGAUAAAGCAAGGGAAAAGAAAAUUUUAUUAUGGUGAGAUCGAACCCAUUAAAUGAGUGUCAACGUAUCCACAAGAGAAUCAGGUCGAUCCUAGUUCAAAUUACAUAAGUAAGGAAGACAUAAAAAAAAGGAAAUUGCAGAAUGUAAAAGUUGAAGAAAUUUUAAAUGUUGAGAGUCUGGAGUGAAGAAUCAACAUGAUAUCCUCUAUACCAAUGUAGAACCCUCGCAAGUUGAGCCUAGUAAAUCAAUCGCCAUCACGAUUCAACUUUGUCGUCUAUCAGUGCUUGAAUUUUGUCUUUCAAAGUUCAACACUCUUCUGUGGUAUGUCCUUUCAUCCCUGAAUGAUAAGCACAUAGUUUAGAUUGAUCAAGCCAUGGUGUAUGUGUUCAUGACAAUUGUGGGAAUAGGAGUGAUAUAGCCAGUCGUCCUCAAAUCUCUCAUAAAGUUGAUCUAUGGGCUCAGCCAAGGGAGUGUACUGUCUCGGUGGAUUUUUCUGAAGCUUAUGUCAAGGUCUGGUGGAUCAAGUAGAUCGUUGAUUUGUUGGUGGACUUGGAUAAGAAAAUGGAAUGUAGUUUGAUAUUGGAGCGACAAAUAGAAGUGGGUACCAAACAGUCUACGGAAGAGGUUUUGUGAAGGAUUGUGGAUAAUAGGCUUGGACAUAAUUGGAUGUUGGAAUGAUUUCUGGAGUUGGGUACCAUAUCAGUUGAGGUUGGGGUACGUUCACUUUCGGCUUUGGGGGUUUUGAUGUCUUGUCGAUGAUUGUCUUUCCCUUGUUCUUGGAUUGUGGCUUAACUACAUCUGCCUCGACUGUGAGCUUGGUCCCAAGAGACCCACUUGCUAGUGUCACUUUCGGUGUACCACAUCAAUGUUGGACCCUUCAGUGAACCGACAAAGAGUUUUGUCUUCGAGCUAUCACUUUGUCCUGUAACCGAUAGCUUGUCAAGGUACUCAUUCAAAUAGGAAUGAGGGUUCCCUAACCCAUCAUAUAAUGGAAAGUUCCAACCAUCGAUUUUCUCCUUGUCUUCUUCCUUGAUUUGGAUGACUUGCUCAUUUUGGGUCGUUGAGAUGAUCCUACCUCAUGGUUUGGAACCUGUCCUUCCAUCUCUUUGUCCUUACUUAUAUUCGUCAACUCAAUAAGUUCUUUUAGCAAUGCAAUUGAAAACUGCCUUGGAGACAUAGGCAUAUCAUGAUCAGACGUAGGUGAAGUUGUCAAUGUCGGGGACUCCGUAGUGUGGAUGGGAGGGUUGGAGUCUGCUUCAGGUAGCGGCCCUGAAAACCUAAUGGCAUCUCAACGGAGCCUCGAAUAUCAGUCAUUAUUCCCCUAAUUAGCGCUAUUCUUCUUCUUAACCUUCUGAUGGUCGAAAUGACUCUGUUUUGAUGCAACCCCAAGCUUUCAUGCUCAGCUUCGCUAUUGAUAAAAUUGAUAAGCAUCGCUUGACUGGCCAUUUUUUAUGUUCAAGUAUAGUCAACCUUAGAAUAAGACUAACAAUUAAAAAUGAAGAGUACACAGGAAUCUAGAAUAAAUAUUCUACUCAUUUGAAAAUAAUAAGUUAUGCUCAUUCGGAGUGAAUGGAGGUCGUGAGAGCUUUAUGUAACUUAGAGGUUGUGACAGUUAGAGCACGACAUAAAUAUUGUGGUAGGAUAAUAGUAUAUAAACAUUAGGAUCAUUAGGAAGGGGAUAUCCUAAAAUAAUAAGUUGCACUAAGAGAUUGUGGAUAAGACUAAUCCUUUAUCAAAGCAAAAGUUGAGCCUAGGGAUGAUUAGUAUACUAACGGAGUAACGGAUGAGUCAGGAGAAUGAAUUGAGGGGAAGUUUUUAAAACUAGGCCCUAAGAGUGUAUGGUAGGGACCUAGCAUGACAAGAAUUUUAAGAGCAACGAGCUCUAAAGUGAGGAACACUAAAUGUAAGGAGUGACUAAGGCCAGAACGGAAACAACAAAAUAGGCAAGAUAUCAAUACAUACAUAGAAAUGCAACACAUAGCAAAUAAUUGUGAGUCCCUAUGAGGUCGUAAACCUCUUUGGACUUUGAAUGAGACUAACAUUCAACGCAUCAAGGAUGCCAAAGCAUCCUACAUUGAAUGGGACGCAUAUUUCUUAAAAAGAAAUAUAUAGCCAAGACCUAAAGAACAAGAGUGGGUUUAUGAUAUGGUUCCCUCGAGUGGACAACUCGAGAGUGGGAGAGCUUAUGAAUGUCAAUGCACCGCUGAUCGAUCGAUCCACAAGGCAUUUCCCAAAGGGUGUUUUGGGAAAGAACGUCUGUGCUACCACGCAACCAUUCGUAAAAAGAAAAUAAAGGAAGUUUCAAGUGGAGGAAAGUAUAAGCGGGAUGCCAAUUAUAUAAAGCGAUAACAUGUAGCACAUAACACAAGUAGCAUGCUAAGAAAUACACACGUAAGCAAACAUGAUAACACAUAAGCAAUAAAAAAGGAAAAAGGGAUAGACAUGGAGAAAUGUAAAUAACACAUAAAGGGAAAGGAGAAGAGACUCACGUAUAACAAUAAAUCGUGAUAUAAACAACAAGAGAAAGUAAUUACGAAAAAUAAAACAAAUAAAGUGAAGGAAUCCUACAUAAAACACAAACUCGUAAUGGUUAGAGCCUAUGAUCCCCAACAGAGUCGUCAAUCUAUCGCGCCUCAUUUUCCUCGUAGAAAGAGGGAUUCGACGUGAUCACUCUUUUUUGGGAUUAUUUUGAUGGUAGGUGUGAAGAGUCACCCACCUGAAGAAUUAAGGUGUGUUAAGGCACCGAUCUAGGCCAACUACAAACCUGUUUUGUUGUUUAGUCUUAGUUCACCAGAUAUUCGGAUAAGGGUUCAAAUUACCUCAAAAGGAAGAAAGGGUCCAGAAAGAUGGUUCCCGGCCGAAUUCAUAUUUAACGUGGAAAUUCUAUGUCAUCAAAUAAGAUCUCUUAUUUUAUUAUUAAUUUAAUGUUUAACUAAGUCAUAAAAUAAUUAAUAAACAAAACAUGUUAUUUUUUAAUUUCUAAUUAUUAAUUAUCUAAGUGAUAAAAAGCAUAUAAUAAGAUAAGCGAGGAGAAAGAAAUGACAUAAUUUGUAACAAAAGGGGACUACUUAUGUAAUAAACUUAACUACCCAAUUUAAAUAAGCAAGUGAAGUAAAUAAAAGAAUUCGCCAAAUUAAAUAAAGAAAUAUUUUGUUCUCAUUUGGAUCAGAAUCUCAACUUGUUUAAUCAUCAUUCAACCUAUGGCCAAAUUCUUAGACAAGUCAUAUGUCUUACCUUUAAUGUCGGUUGGAGAUCAUCACUUCCGAAUGACUACUCCCCCCCACCCCCACCCAGGCUAGAUGUCAAAUCUAAAGGCGUUCUAGUACAAGAAUAAAACUAACGCUUUUAGUAAUUCCUAUCGUCUCGUCCAUCAUUCAAGAGGCAUUGGACUUUGCUAUUUUAGAUUUGUGGUCUAGACAAAAUAAAACUAUGUUGCUUAGGACUCGAAACGCGUAACACAUUGGAUAUCAUGUAGCAAGUAAUGUCUCACAUUAGCCCCUUGGUUAUUAAAGAGUUGAUUAAUGUGAUUAACAUGCAAAGACAAAUAAUUACUUAUUUUUGUGUCAUUAAGUAAUUGAGAAUGAAAAAAAUUACGUUUUAACAUAUUGGCAAUUAUUCUAAUUUCAUAUUAAUAUGCAGGAAAAUAAUAUAAAAAGGAAAAUAUUUAACAUGCUGAAAUUAAUGAUUAUACGCAGAGAUGCAGUUCAGACAUGCUGAAAUUUAAUUAUUUUAUGCAGAAACGCAAUUUUAACAUGCUGAAAUUUAAUAUUAACAUACUGAAAAAUACAUUAACGCAAUUAUUUUUGAUAUGCUGAAAAAUAUGUUAAUGCGCAAGAAUUUUCUUCUAUUAAUCAUGCUACAAUUUUAACCUGGACAAGCUUAAUUCUAAUGUCAACAUGCUACAAGCAUAUUAAUAUGCAGGAAUUUAAUUGUUGACAUGCUAAAAAAUACUAACAUGCUGAAAGUAAUUUUAAUAUGUUGAAACAUAUAAUGACAUGCUUAAUGUCAAUUUAAUUUGUUGACAUGCUAAAGAUAUAUUAAUAUGUUCAAUGCAAAUUAAUAUGCUACCAUACUAAAAAUAUAUUAAUAUGCUCAAUGUCAAUUAAUAUGGUAUGUCAAUUUUAGUUAGAUCAAGAAUAAUUAAAAAAGUCGUAGAUCAAGUGUCGAAACGAUUCAUAUGUUAAUAAAUUCUAAUUUUGUGUGCCUAAAUAAUCCACGUAGCAUGUAACGCACAUAAACCUAAAUUGUGCCUACCUAUAUUAUUCAUAGAGCACAUAAAUCUCCACCCUAAAGCAAUCCCCAAUAUUUAUUAUUACAUCAAUAGUAACAUAUGUACAAUAAUAUUACAAACCAAAUAACAAGAACAUAAAACUAAAUAGAACUAAUACAAUUUAUUGUAAACACCCCAGCAACUCUUGCGAUCUCCAAAACACCACCAAUACCUGUUAGAUACAAAUCGAAAGAGCACGACAAGCGCAAAACAAACAACUCAUGAUCCUAAACCACACAUCGUUUCAAAUAGAGGAAUCCAAGAAGAUACGUGCAUAUUAAGCAAGUAUUGUUUCAAAUUAGUUCCUAUAGAUAUGUUUUCUAUAGAAGUAAAAAAAUUGCAUUGAAUGGAAACAUACUGGUGAUGAUAAAUAAUAUAAUAAGAACUAAGAAGAAGACCAAAUAGCUCAAAAUCCAGAAAGCAAAUUACCACCGAGAGGUCAGAAUUAAAGCUCCAAAAGUAAGUAUAGAAGCGAUAAAAUAAGACUGUUUCUUUUCUGUUUCUUUUCCAAAAGUUUUGUAGAAGAGAGUAUAUGUAGUCUGUUGUAACUUCUCAAAAUAAGAGAAUAGGGGUUGUUUAUAUAGUGGAGGGAUAAAUCCACCAAGCCAUAAAAAGGAAAAGAGAAUAUGUUAUGUAAUCAAUCAAUCACAAUUAUAUCAUUCAAAUAAUUUAAAAUCAGUCUAAACUAAUAAAAGGAAAAGAGGUAUCAAUCAACAGAAUAUGUGAUGUAAUCAAUCAACCAAAUUGCCUUAAAUAUGAAGAUCACACAUACUAAUAUAAUCACUCAAAACAAAUAGAAGGAAAGAAAAAUAUCAAUUAAUCUAAAUUUUCUUUUUGAACAUGCAGACUAAUUAAGGAUAAUAAUUAAGGCAAAUCAUUAUGUCACUUAAGGCUAAAAUCGUGUAAAAUUCGAUAAAAGAAAUUAAAAAAGAAAAAGCAUAUUUAGGAUAAUCAAUCAGUCAAAUUUCCUUCUAUAAGCAUGAAAAUCAAUCAAAUUCUUGCCCUGAAGUAUUAAAUUCAAAUCAAUAAUAGUGAAGGAAAGAAAACACUGCCAAGAAAUCAGUACCAAAGCUUGUCACACACUAAACAAAAAGGGAAGAAAUUUCCCCAAUGCAGAAACUAACAAGAUCAGCUAAAUACCAAGUAAACCAAUUAGAACGGGAACAAAUAUAUGAGUAAAUCGACUUCGAUCUUUACCAAUAUGAUUAAACGAUUAUGAGCAAAUAAUCAACCGAACUCGUCAUGUCACAAUGCCAGUUAACACCAAUCACAUAAUAAAUUUCUUCAAAUAAAUAUUUUCAAGUAGAGAUCAUAUUCACAGAAUAACAAACCAUGAACACGAUAUUCGACCUAAUACAUACUAGUAUCAUUACAAUAGAUUCAACAAAAUUCAAUCUAGCAAUCAAGAACACAACAAUUAAAUCAUUCAGUGCCUGAUUCAGAAAAUAGCGUCAGCUAAGCAUGAAAUCGAAAUAUUUGAAACAAAGAAAAUCAGAUCGAAGCCACCCCACGUAUUUCACAUCCACAAACAAAAUAAAGUAAAUCCAAGAACAAUCUUACCGGAGACAAAUUCAUCAUGCAAAAAAUGUUGGAAUUGAAUCCUUGACACUCUCGCGGGUUCGGUCAGAGCAAGCGAAGGCGCUAGUGAGGUUGCCGAUGGUGGCUACGAUGGAGAGGACGAACAGAGGGAGAUGGCAGCGGUUCAAGUGGCGACUGGCUUUACUAUUAUGCCGGCAGAGCCGGCUGGUCUGCUGGUGGUUGAUUCGCCGUAGCUGGCGGAGGCUGGUUCCGUUGGAGUUUUGGUGGUGAGCGUUGCGGCGAUUGGUGGCGGCGCUGGUCGCUGGUUUGGCUGAGGAUAAUGGGUCGUCGGUCGGUGGUGGUUUCUAGAACGAUGCUUCACCGGUCAUUACCUCCGGUGAAUCGACAACGACGGGAGGCAACGCCGAUUUCACGGCUGGACUGAUCAUUUUGGUGGAGCGGCGGCAUCGAUGAAGAGAAGAAAGUGGGGCGGCGGUGGCUGGUUUAUCGGAGGCGGGAGAGGGAGUCCGGCGAAUAGAGGGAUGGUUCGUCGUGAUGGACGCCGACGAAGGUGGUGGCGGCGGCGGUUUGAGUGUUUCUUUUUUUUAGAGAGAAAAUGGAGAGAGAUGAGAGGUAGAGAGAGAGGGAGUUAGGCGGCUUAGAAGAUGAAGAGAGAUGAGAGGUAGAGAGAGAAGGAGUUAGGCGGCUUAUUUUUUGUGAAAAUGAAUUAGGGUUCGGUGUUUUGAACUAAAAAGGACAGAGGAGAAGGGUUUGAUCUCAGCCGUUGGAUCAAUUUGGAUUAACGGUUGAGAUUAAAACCUUUUAAAAAGAGGUCAGGAAAAAAUUAAUGUGUAAUUAAAAUAUCAUCAAUUAGGCUAAAAUUGAUAUUAAUUGAAUACCAAUUGGCUAGAAUUAUAAUAAAUUGAGUAAAAUUGAAUAAACAAUGGCUAAAAGAUAAAUAAAUUAUGCAAGAUGAUUUCAAAUUAGGUUGUUAUUUAAAUAAUAGUAGGGAUAAUAAUAAAUAAUAAUAAAAAAUAAAAAGUAAUAAUAAUAAUAAUAAUAAUAAUAAUAAUAAUAAUGCAACACUAAAUUAUGUAUUUGCAAAAAUGUAAUUAUGAACAGUUACAAGCAUACAAAAAGUUUCGUAUUUGAGUUUAAAAAUUAUAGAAAUGAUACGUAAAAUAUAAAAAUAAUUUAUGCAUCUUUAGGUAGCCUAAAAGUAAUAUCGGGGGGUCAAAAUUGGGUGUAACAUAACUUAUGCCAGUAGUAAUAUUACUUUCUGUGGAACACUAAGUUAAAUAUGGUAUCAUACUUGGUUUAAUACUUGGAUUCAAACACUAUGUGCAUGUCAUCGAGUUCAUUUCGUUUGUUCAAUUCAGACUGAUUCUAAUGUAUUUCUGUUUUCUUUUGUUUCGUGGAACAAUCGGAGAACUGGAGUUCUCACUUUGAUUUUUUUUUAUAAGUAAAGGUCCGAAUCAGUCCUUCUAAUCUACUGUUGGAUCCUAGUGUCUCCUUUAGAACCUCGAGAUUAGUAAGACUUGAAUAAAGUUUGGGUUUUAAAAGUGUGGUGUUGGUCCAUACUAGUCAAACUACAUCCAUGAGAUUAAUCAAUAGCAAUUAUGUCAUGUUCUCAUCUUUCAUUUAAGUAUCCUCUUUGAUCAUGAGACAUUUUCUUUCAAUUGGGUGGAAAUGUAUUUGUAUAAUAUUUUCACACUUUGAAAUCUGCUUGUAGUCCUAGAUUUAUCCAACUAAGUUAAUUAGGAAUUGGUGUACGUUUGCUGGAACAUGUGUUUGAGCACUAGCAAUUUCUUGAGAUUUAGUUGUUGUUUAGGAGAAUUAUUUUGCUCUUUCUGCUGUGUACUAACCACAAUGCAUAGCACCUACUAUUUAUCUUACAUUCUCAUCUAUUGUUAACCCAGUUUUUUUCACAUAUUCGUACACAUUCAAUACGAAUGUACAUAAGCAUUCACUACACUAUAUGUGCAAUCUUUUUGUAAGUUCUUGGUCUCUAAUCGAAGCUAAUAAUCACAGUUGUGCUAUUACAAGCAGGUUAAAAAUUACCUGGAUCCCUUACCCUUCAUUUUGUGUUAAGAAAAUGUUUUACCUCCCCUUACAUUAGUUUGAUAAGUAUAUUUUUUCAUCAAUGUCUCUAAUUAUUUGAUUAAUUUUUAAUUCUUUUCUUUCUUAUUUCACAUGUACACUCAGGAGCGUAUUUGGAGUUUAAUGGGUUGACUAUAUCUUUAUCCAAAUCAGAGAAGCGACCAAUAAUCGCAUUACAUAUUUUCGUCUAACAAUCUAUGCCUCUUUCCAUCUUUUACGUUCUUGAUUGAAUUAUCUUUAAAUAUUGUAGCACAUUUAAUUGUUCCCUUUCUACCUCUUAGAUUCUAAACUUACCGUAAUCACUAGGCUUCACUAUAUGAUUUGUAUCGUUAAAGGUUAAAACUCAGUAGGUAAAAGCAUACCUUUUAGAAUAAAUGAUCAGAGUUGUAGAAUCCUUUAACGCUUCUUCAAUAUAAAAUAAUAGCUUUAUCUUUCGAACUAAAGUUAGUUUCUCAUUAGUAAGUAAUAUCGAAAUAGGUAGAAAUAUAUAUUUUGUGCUAGACGGGCUUAUUAUCGUUAAACUCGAAAAAUCAAUUUUAAUAAUUUUGGAUAUGGUAAAUCAAUUCAAUUUUUCAUCAAUUUCAAAUAUAAGAUGGUAGCUUUGUCAAACUGACUCUGCAAGACUUCUUUUUUUUUUAGGAUUUCAAAUGAUGAAAAUACAUUUUGGAUGUGAGCCGUUUCUUAAUAAAAAAUAAAUUCUCAAAUCAUUAUAAAUUCAAAUAACGAUAUUUUUAUAGCUACUAUUCAAUCCGGGUAGGAUAAUUAACCAAUUUAUUUAUAUCUAUUUUAUAAAAUUUGAAGCAAGAGUCAUUUUUACUUAGAUAAAGAAAAGUCGUGAAGCUCUUAGCAUAACUAACUUUUAAAAAUUAUUAAUUAAAAACUUUUGUAUAUCUUUUAAAAGAAAUGAUUCGAAAUAAAAAGAAUUUACAACAAUAAGGUUGCAUCAUUUUCAGAGAAAAUAUCCAAUUACUCCCCUGAAGUAUACCCAAAAGGGAUAUGACAAACAUUAACUUAAAGGGGGUCCUAUUACCCCCCCCCCCCCAAACUAAUUAAAAGUGGAAUUUUUAACCCCUUGGUGCCUAUGUAGCACACACGUGAGCCUACGCGGACACUUCAGUAUGUUGUGCCACGUAUGUGCCACAUAAGCAAUAAAGGGGUGAAAAUUUCACUUUAAAUUAGUUUAGGAGGUAAUAGGAUCCCCUUUAAGUUGAGGUGUGUCAUAGCCUUUUUGAGUAUAGUUCAGGGGGGUUAUUGGGUAUUUUCUCUAAAAAUGAUGCAACCUUAUUGUUGUAAAAAAAAUUAUUUCGAAUCAUUUCUUUUAAAAGAUAUACAAAGUUUUUAAUUAAUAAUUUUUAAAAGUUAGUUAUGACAAGAGCUUCACGACUUUUCUUUAUCUAAAUAAAAAUGACUCUUGCUUCAAAUUUUAUAAAAUAGAUAUAAAUAAGAUGGUUAAUUAUCCUACCCGGAUUGAAUAAUAGCUAUAAAAAUAUAGUUGUUUAAAUUUAUAAUGACUUGAGAAUUUAUUUUUUAUUAAGAAACGGCUCACAUCCAAAAUGUAUUUUCAUCAUUUGAAAUCCUAUGAAAAAUACAUAGUCUUUGGGGUAUAGUUCAGGAGGUUAGUUCAGAGGUUUUAUAGAAAGAUAUUUUGAUAAUUUUUGUAAAGUAGAUGAAUUUUUAAAACGUGGUUCUUCUAAAAGUUUUCUUAUCUGUUUUCUUAUAAAUAAUUAGCAUGUGUUAUCUUAUAUAUAUAUAUAGAUACAUACAUACAUACAUAUAUAUAUAUAUAUAUAUAUAGAUACAUACAUAUAUAUAUAUAUAUAUAUAUACACUUUUAUAUCUUCCUUAUAUCUUUCUUAAUAUAACAUUUGAUUUCCUCAUCUAAUCUAAGUUUGACCGGUUAAUCGUGGUUAACGGAUCCUUAAAUAUGCUUAAUCUCUUCCCUUUAGGAUAAUUAGAACUCUUGUCUAGAAUCAUUAAGUUAAGUAGACCUAAAAAAUGAAGUCUUUAGUAAUUUUAAUUACUUAAUUUAUAAUAGGAGUCCUAAUUCACCGUAGAACCAAUUAGGUGGCAACUUCUUUAAUUUACAUAAAAGUUUUCAAUAUAUUGUACCUUGGUUUAACCCGUGUUUAAACGGGAUAUAACAGAAUACGUAGAGGUUGGAAGAGGAGCUUGCCAAAAAAAGAAAGGAAAAAAAUUAUUUUGAGUUAAAUUAACACGUGUCAAAUAAAGAUUGAUGUGUGAUUAAUAUUUUCUUUGAAAAAAUUAAAGCUUAAUUAAAAGAGAUAUAAUAAUAUAAAUUCAAAAUUGUCUAAUAGAAUCCCCUCAAAGUUAGAAAGUCUUCCUAAAAAUAUGGUUCAAAUUCAAGGAGCUUAUUAUGUAUUAACUCUUAUCCAAAGUGCAACAAAAAUUUUACAACUCGUUUGAUAUGAGGUAUAAAGGAUAAAUAGUCCUCGGGAUAAAGUGAAAGAUUAUUUUAUCUCAUUGUUGGUUGAACGUAUUAAUUAAUACCGAAAUUAUUUAUCCUACUAUUUACAUCAUAGUGAUGGAAUAAGUUAUCUCAUAUCCAUAAUAGAAUAACUAAUUUUGAAAUUAAUUAUCUUGNNNNNNNNNNNNCUUUCCCAAUCAAACGACCCCUUACUUUGAUGGGUUUCCAAGUACAUAUUAAGUCAAAUAUUUGACAUAUAUAUACUACAGUUCAUAAUUUUGAGGGAGAAGUGGGGGAUUUUGUGAAUCAUACUUAUAUGAAUAGAUCUGUCAUUCAAAAGAGAUAAAUUGAAAAAAUAUUGAAGAAAGGUGAUUAGACAAGAUUUGGCAUGCCUGUAGCUUAUUAAAGACACUUUAGAUAUGAGGAUAUAUAGGUUGAUAAUUAGGAUAUAAAGUUAGUAGUUAGCUGAGCGUUAUCUAAUUUUUCUUGUUAGUAUUUUUAUUAUUACUCUCAUGUUAUCUUCCUCUUCAAAUUUUUUACUAUCUGUUGUUUCUUUUGUUUCGAUUAUCGUAUUAUUUAUUAUUACUAUUGUUCUUUUCUUCAUUGUUCCAUUCUGGAUUCUUUCUUAACAUAUUUUUUUUCAUAUCUGUUUUAAACUAUUUUACGUGAGCCGAUGAUUUAUCUAAAAACAGUUUUUUUACUUUACAAGGUAAGAGUAAAGUAUACAUACGCACCAUCCUCCCCAAAAUCUUAAUUUUAGAAUUAAGAUGAAUAUAUUAGCAUUGAAAAUAAAAGUUAUGGAAAAUAAUAAUUUUCUCCUUGUGUUAUUACGUUAUUUCUAUUUUAGUCCUUGUAAUUUUCUAUUAAGCGCAGUUGACCUUCUAUUAAGUAAUGGGUGUGAUUUUAGUCCUUCAACCAAUGGACAACAAAUAAGACUGUUAAAUAGUCCUUCAACCAACGGACAACAAAUAAAAUAAGACUGUUAAAUUACAGAGGAACAAAUUACAGAGGAACAAAUCAGAUAUUUCAUAUUAUUUUUAUUGCACACUUAAAAAGGAAAAAAGAAAAAUCCCUUUAUUUCUCCAAUCUAUGUGAUUCUCAUUGUCUUCUUCAAUCAUAUUUCCUCUCACCCAUAGUUGUACAUGAUGCAAAUAUAUUUUUAAGACAAUCUUUUUUCUUUGACUGAUUUAGAAGACAAUCUUUUUUCUUUGACUGAUUUAAGCCUAAUUUGUUUGUACUUAAUGGAGGUCUGAAUUUGAAUGAUUCAGACUUUAGACUAUUAAGUGCAUUUAUUUUUGAUUAAAAUUUUAGUUCUUAAUAUGUCUGAAUAGGUCUUAAUCAUUCAGAUCUAGAACCAAGUCUUAAUAUGUUUGAAGAGAUAUUCUGGUGUUGGAUAAUAUUCACCACUUUAUUCAUAAUCAGCAGUCACCACUACUAACCACCUCUGUCACCGCCAACACUGUCAACCACCACUAACCACCUCUACCACCACAACCACCAUCAACAACAAAUAUCACUACCAACCACUAUUGUCAACCAAUACUACACAUACUACCGCUAUUAUUCUAAUUAUAUUCACCGUCAUCGCUGCCGUCAACAGUACCACCAUCAUCAACCACUACCGAUCAAUCCCUACUACUGACCAACUCAUCUAUCAUAACUAGCACCAUUACAGCACCACUAACUACCACUAAUACAUCACAACCUCCACAAAAUCUUCGGCCGCCGCCACCAUUGUCACUAGUAACGCCACCUCUACCACCACUUCAACCACUACUAUCACUACAAUUUAUCUCUACUAACAACCAUCUCCACCAUCACAACAAACAACAUCUCCAACUAAUAUCGUCAUCCAUGAUGUAUUCAUGUUUCAGCCAACACAAUCAAUACCUUAAACUACUAACAUCACGCAACGUCACAUCACAACCACCACCAUCAAUCUCAACGAUCAUAACAGUCACUAUAAUAUCAACUAUCACAAUUAUCACCACCAACAUUUUUAAUCACUAACAUCAAUCAUUGUUACCACAACCACCAUUAUAAAUCAUCUCCACUAUUACUAAUAAAGAUAAAUAUUUUUUUUCUCAAUCAAAAAAUAAUUAUGUUGUAUUAAAUUACAUACUUUUUUAAUAUAUAAUUAAUUUUUUAUUUGAAUUGUAUUUUUUAUUUUAUUAUAUAUACAAAUAAAAAAAAUUGCACAUUCAGAUAUUAAAAAAUAAAAGAUCUUGAUUAUUCUGUUUUCAGAUCUAGAGACAACAUCUUAAUCAUUCAAAUAUAUAUUUAGAUUCAGACAUCUGAAUCUCAGAAAAAAAACAAAUCCAUCCUUAAAGAAUAUACAUAAAUUAUAAAGAAUUCAAAAAGAAAUAGACUUAAAUCAUCCACAACAAGUCUUCUUCAAUAUUGGCUUGGUUCUUCUAAACAGAAGUUUCCCCAAUUUCUUUCCCCUUCACUUUUACUGGCAGCAAUUAUUUUUUCUUCUGCAAUUUUUUUUUCUGAAGAUAACCCACUAAAAUAUAUUUUAUAAGGAAUAAUCAUGGAGUAUAACCGCACAAGAAACGUAAAUACCUAUAUUGCCUCGCUGCAAUUUAACAGAUUGUUAUUUUAUUUAGUGGAUGUUCCUUGAAGGACUAAACUCAUACGCGUUGUUUGAUUGAAGAUCAAUGCGUUUAACCAAAUAUCACGAGGACUAAAAUAAAAAUAAUGCAACACAAGGACUAAAAGUAUUGUUUCCUUUUAGUUAACUUAGUCGCAUAAGAUGAGCAUCAUUGUGCAAUUUUCAAAUCGGAAAGAUGUUUGGGUAUAAAAUUUAAUUAAUCCCAGCAUAAGAUCUUGCAACAAUAUAAGGCAUCAGUAGUAGGAGUGUGCAAAAAUCGAACCGAUCGAUAAAUUAAAUUGAUAAAAAUGCUAUUGAUUUAUUGUUAUUGGGUUAUUGGGUUAACGAUUUUUUAAUGAUUUUAUAAAAAAAAUUAUUGGGUUAUUGGUUCGGUUCAAUUUUUUUUAUUAGGUCAUUGGGUAAACCGAUAACUCAAUAAAAAAAUAUAUAUAUCUAUAAUCUAUAUCUAUAUCUAUCUAUAAUAUAUUAAAAAUGUAAAGACCUUUAGAAAAGUGAAGUGAUUUGAACUUUUUCCCUAAAUCCUUUAGACAAAAUUGUCUUUUCACUAUUUUUUUCAAUUUAUUAUUUAAUUAUUUUUAUUAUAUUAACUUGACUCCUGGGACUCCUAAAAUAUAUAGUAGGAGACAGUUAAUAUUUUUCUUUGUACAAAUCAAUUAGAAAAAUACUCUUAAAAUUUAGGACUCUAUUAAGGAAAUAUUCCUGUAAAUAUUGAGAUGCACGUUAAUUUAGAGAAGAAACUGGUUACUUAUUGAGAUGAUUGAUGCUUAUGUAACUUGAUUCGGUUGCAUGUCUAGAUUGGUGGAUGCUUAAUUUUCUAACCCUUAACUUCUUCACUAUUUUUGUCAACAUAAUAGAAUUCAACGUGUGUAUAUGUAUAUCUUCUUUGUUUUCAUUCAAGCCAAUCUUUAAUGUCAAACUUUUUGCUCAGGCAAGAAUUAUUUUCAUCAAAACUGAAGCUUUGUCAUCACUAUUGUAUUAUUUUGUUGUAGUUUACAGGUCGUAGAUGAAUUUACAGGUGGUAAAUGAAUGUCGAUCGACUUUGAGGAAUUUUUUUAGAUAAAGGUUAAGUUUAUUUGUAUUGUUUUUAUAUCUCUGUUUUGAGAAUUUUUUUUUAUGUAAAGGUAAAGUUUAGUUGUAUUACUUUAAUAUCUCUGUUGUGAUAUUAUUUUGUUAUAGUUUACAGGUGAUAUAUAGUGUCGGACGACUUUUAGGAAAUUUUUUUGUAACAGUUAAAUUUAAUUAUAUUGUUUUGAUGUCUCUAUCUUUGUAUUAUUUUGUUACAGUUUACAGGUGAUACUUGAAUGUAGAUCGACUUUGAGAAAUUUUUUUGGUAAAGGUAGGUUUAAAUAAAUAAAUUCUCCAAAAGACGUUGAAUUUAAUUAUUGUAUCCAUUUUUAUUAUUUAAACAAAUAUCUAUUUAGUGUAACUUUUGAACUUAAUAAAGUAAAAUUAAAACACAUCAUGUAGGAUUUUUGGUUGCAACUAAGAUUAGAUUUUUUUUUUUUCAUAUUAGUUACUACUAUUUUUAUUUUAUGAGUAUUUUCUUAUCGAUUAAACCGAAAACCGAACCGUUAAGGAUUAAAAACCGAUAAAUCGAAAACCGAUAAAAAUUAUCUUACUGAUUUGGUUAUUGGUUUAACAUAUUUAAAAAUUGAAAACUGAUAAACCGAACCGAUAAUAUAUAAAAUCAAACCGAACCGACCUAUGCAUGGAUAUAAACAUUACAUUCUUGUUUAUUGUGUGUAAAAACAACGAACAUGUUUACUUUUUCGUGUGUUAAAAAUGAAAGUGUCAUUUAUUUCAAAUCGAAGUUGGAAUAACGAACUAAAAUGUAAAACAAACACUUGAUUUUCUUUUUCAAAUUUUCCAAGUCUUGUCUAUUGAUGAAGAAGAUCUGCCAGGAAAAAAAUGUUUCACUCCUAGGAGAUGAUCACAAUAAGCUCAAACCACAUUAUGAAAUGGUAUAAUUUGCUGUAUAAAAGAACAUGAUGGAGAAAUCAUGUUUUCUUAUUGAGCCAAAUUCUUCUAAUUUGUUGUAUAAAUGAACAUGAUGGAGAAACCAUGUUUUCUUAUUGAGGUAAAUUCUUCAAAUCAUGUCUCCCUAAAUCUAAUUUAAAAAUAAAAAAUAAAAAAAUCUAAAAGUAACCACCAAGCUAGCUUCUUAAGGGUGUAUACCAAUUUUGGUAAGAAAAAGAAGAGAUAACUUGAACUAUCAUUUUUUUUUGCAAGUUUCACACUCCAAUUAUAGUUAGCCUAAUCAGCUUCAAGAUUGUUUUAAUCAAUAGAUGGUAAUAGUUCGAGGGGCAAUAUGGUACAUCGGGAACAACUAAUAGUUGGAUAUGAAACUAUAAUUCAGAUGUGCUUUUGAACACCAACUCAGAAAAGAAUAUGUGAAUGGAUGGAUGUGUGAACUGACAUUAUUAGUCCAAUAGUCACUGCAUAUUGAGACUACAAAAUCUUAAGGUCUUGGACCCCUCAUGAAACAACAAUUUACACCAUCCAUAUGAGAAGUAAGAUCACAGUAAGAAAUUUAGAAAGAGAAUCUCUCAAACAAAAUGAAAGAGAAGAAACAUUUCUCAAGCUGUGAUCUCUUUGAUCAGCCACUCUAAAGCAGGAUAGGCAAAGUACAACACUAGGAAAGAUGGAAGUCCAAAGAGAAUUGUGAUCAGUAAGUAGAGCGCUAGGACGGCUGCACAGGAAGGUAUUGCAAACAUAACAAGGAGAAGAAGCACGAUAACUAACGGAAACUUGGAUGUAACGCGGAUAAAGAGAUCAAGGGACUUGUGAAGAGAAGAGUGAACCCUCUGCGAUGCAGGCGUACCACUAGUAUAGUUAUGACUACUGGUGCUCGACCCUGGAGAUCCUAGACCAUGUACCCUCCUGGAAUUCAUGACAGAGGUAUUGCUCCCCAUAACUGAAGUGCACCGGAUGUACCAAUCUUGUUGAUGAUCCCUACAUAUGCCAGAUGGAGACUUCACCCGGUCACCAUUUCUGCCUUCCACCAUCCAGAGGAGGAAGAAAUUCUUGCUAGGAAAUUUGAGAUUCCCGUUGAAUGCGAACCGGAAUGUCAGCAUAUUGCACCAUGGGCAGGAAAUGAAUAAUGGAAUCUGGACCUGUUGGGUGGAGAACUUCUACGACGCUGAUUUAAGCCCCAACAGACAGUGCUUGCAAAGCGUGUGACCACACCACAAGACAUAGGGGAUGUUCUCGACAAUGUUAAAAGAUUCCCAGCAUAUUGGACAUUCAAGCCCUUCUUCCUCACUGCUGGAAUUAGAAUAGGCAUCAUCUAAGAAUUCGUAACAAGGUUGAUUGGGCUCACCACAUUCCUUCUUCUGUCCAAAGCUUGUGAUGGCAUUCGAGAUAGAUCUCCACAUAUAAGAGGCAACUUAAAAAUCGCUAUUGCCUGCAAUUACUCGAGUUUAAAGCUUGGCAUGUAUUUGUAUAUAAUACUAAGAUGAACCUGACCUUCAGGAGCAAGCCUCUUGGUAGGUACAAUCUUAAAAACUUAUUGUCAUGAAUAUACGGUAUACCAUCUUUAAGAUGAUAGCAAAAUUCAAAAAUCACAAGCAAUUAUGCAUAAAACUAAGAGCUGGAUUAUGUUUACGCUCCUCAUUACUCAUCAGUGAAGGUCUCUCAAAUAAGCAGCAAAUAAAAGUUGCACUUUAUUGUUCCACUCAUUAGUGAAACCACUCUACCCCCAUUUAAAUCCAGAUUCGCAGAUCACAGUCAUCUGCAGGUUUAAAUGAAGUAGACGAUUUGGGAUAGAUUGGCGAUUUAAAAUACAUUAAAAAACAUAACUAGAAAUCUUCAAUUCCGCCAUACUAAGAGAAUCAAUUGGUACGCCAUCAAUCACGACAUUCUUACAUAAAUUUUCCUACGAAAGAUCGUAUGUUAUAAUAUCCAUGCAAACAGCAAUUUCGAGAUAAGAACUGGUGUAUAAAAGGUUAAUUCAAAGUACAAUUUGAAAAAUAUAUCAUGAGCAGACAAUGGGGCAAAAGUAGAAAAAUGGCACAAUUUCAGAUUGUAGUUUCACAAAAAAAAAAAAAAAAAAAAAAAAAAAAGAAAGAAAGAAAGAAAGAACUGCAUAAUUUAUUUGAGGAUGUUCAGAAACUUACUUGUAUGGAAAAUGGUAUGAUUGGGAGAAGAGAGAUCAGAAGAGAAAUGGAUUCUCUCUCUCGUCUCGCCACUCUCUCUCUAUUGUUUCUGAGAGGAUUGAAACUACUGAGAGAUUUUAUCGAUCGGACAUUUAACAAGUGCGAACCUAAUUAUGCCACCAUUUUUAAAAAGUAUCAACUUAUGUUACUGAUUUAAAAAAUUAUAAAAAUUGACUGUUUACACAAAAUAAAUACAUAAUAUACUUUUUUUUCAUCUUGACACCAUUAAAAUAGAAUAUUGCACUAAAUAAUACGAAUAGUACACUUAUUAGUUUACUAUCUAUUUUUUAAUGAAUAGUGCACUAUUCAUUUUUUUUAAUGAAUAAUACAUUAAAUAAAUGUAUUAUCUAUUUAUUUUAUUAUGGAUAGUGCACUAAAAAGUACACUAUCAAUUAUUUUUAAUAUAUUGCAUUUUUUUGUGCAUUAUUUCUUUUUUCAUAUAGUUUAGUGCAUUUUUUUUAGUGCACUAUUCAUAAAAUAAAUGGAUAGUGCAUUAAAAAGGUGUACUAUCAAUUAUUUUAAUAUCUUACACUUCUUUAGUGAGAUAAAAUUUUACGUAUUUUAUUGUGAGAUUAAAUUUUAUUUUUUUUAUGAUACCAAAUUGCAACAUAACGUACAAUGUAAAAAGUUACGUAUUUGUAUGUCAAUGAAUGGUGUAAUUUUUUGUGAGAUGAAAUUUUACGUAUUUUAUUGUGAGAUUAAAUUUUAUUUUUUUUAUGAUACCAAAUUGCAACAUAACGUACAAUGUAAAAAGUUACGUAUUUGUAUGUCAAUGAAUGGUGUAAUUUUUUGUGAGAUGAAAUUUUACGUAUUUUAUUUUGAAAUAAUCUUAUAACUCAUUACAAAUAACGUAUUACGCCAAACUUCAAUAAAAGUUGAUUUGAUAUUAGAAAAAUAAAAAAUGAGAGAAUUUCAAAAAAUCCUACAAAAGUAUUUGGGUGUUAUACAGAUUUAUCCAGGAAAAAAAUGGUAUGACCGAAUUUGUCCCUUAGAAAAUAAACCUAUUUCUAUUUAUUAUGAUUUACAAAUUGCUGGACACAUCAUUGUCAGAGAAACAUACUCCUCUAAAACUGAUGAUUUUAUUAUUUGGAGAGAAACACUUCAGCAGACUCAACUAUAUUCUAAAAUGUGUGAUUAUGAGGUGUUAUGUCGAUGGCAUAGUUUAACUAUUCUACAGGCACAGUCCGCGAUAUUUCAGAUAUGUAAAUUCAGGAAUGAUGCACAAGUUAUUGAACACUUGAAUAAGGAAAUAUCAGAAAUGGAAAAAACAUUAGAGUUUUUUCAUGCAUUAGAUGAUCUUAUCUUUCAAGGAGUAGAUGAAAAUGAGCACUGAAAAGUACUUAAAAAUCAGAGACUACAUCGAGAUUCUACCUAUCCAGUAUAUCCAAUUGUUAACGAAUGAAUAGGCCUUCAAAAACAUUUACCCCAAACAUUAAAUUUUGGAAUGUCAUAUUGUUGUAUAAACCAAUUGAGUUUAGUUGAGCCAACACAACAUGAAUUCAACAUAGUUCCUGAAACUGACGAAGAAGAUAUGUAAAUUUUUACAUUGUACGUUAUGUUGUAAUUUGGUGUUAUAAAAAUAUUAAACUUUCAUCUCAAAAUAAAAUACGUAAAAUUUCAUCUCACAAAAAAUUACACCAUUCAUUGACAUACAAAUACGUAACUUUUUACAUUGUACGUUAUGUUACAAUUUGAUAUUAUAAAAAAAUGACAAAAAGGUUUGAUGAACCGCUGUACUAUGUCGGUUUUGUAAGUUGGACACUUCUACUUACAUAUUUGUCAUCUAGACCCCUGAACCCACUAAAAAACAACAUUUUAAACACCGUUUCGGUGAGUGUAACACACUCUCGCCACAUCAGCUACCAUGUCAGCUUACACGUCUACCACGUCUGCCACAUCAGCUGUCACAUCAGCCGCCAAGUCAUUUUUAAGUAUUACAUUAAAUUUUAUGUUAUUUUUAAAAUGCUACACAGGAAAUUAAAUAUUAAAAUAAAUUUAAUUAAAUAAUUUUUUUUAUAAAUUGUAGAAAUUCUAAUACACAAAUACAAUAAAUUUUUAAUUUAAAUUAAAUUAAAUUUUCAAUUAUAAAUUUAAAGUUUUAACUAUAAAUUCACAUUACACAAACAUAAUGAAUUUUCAAUUUUUAUUUAAAUAUCUUCAACAAUUUGUAAAAGUUACAAAAUUAAUCCUAAAUAAAAUGAAAAAUUUAAAUUGAUAAAAUGAAUAAAAAAAAUAAAAAAGUAAAUCAAGAACAAUUUUUUUUUUUUGAAAAUGAACAACAAACAACAAUAUCAACCACAACAAAGACCUCUUCAAGGAUAUAUAAUUUUUUUUUUUUACAGUGAACAAUAACAACAACAAUAUCAAUCAACAAAGACCCUCUUUGGGAACAACAACUAUAUUUUCUUUUCUACAUAUAUAUAUAUAUAUAUAUGUUUUUUUUUUACAAUGAACAACAACAACAAUAAUCUCAAUCAGCAAAGACCCUCUUCGGGAACAAUAACAAUAUUUUCUUUUCUAUGAUGAACAACAACAAUAUCAACCAUAGCAAAGUAAAGACCCUCUUCACGGAUAUAUAAUUUUUUUUUUUGACAAUGAACAGCAAUAACAAUAUCAACCAGCAAAAACCCUCUUCAGGAGCAACAACUUUUUUUUUUGACAAUGAACAACAACGACAAUAUCAACCACAACAAAGACAAGAAAUAGCAUAAACUUCCGUUGAAUCUUGUCAAUCUUAACUCCACUAACAUUCACUUUCGUUGAAGUAGCAAUAACAUAAGCUUGAUUAACUCUCCUUAGUGGAACCCAAUUAACCUUAAACGACCCACUAACAAGUAACAGUCCAGAACCUACAAGUUGUUUUAAGAACACAACUCUUUUUUCCUUAAAUCUCCCAGCUAGAAUAAUCAAACCAGUACCAGGUGUAAUACUGACUCUCAAUUUUGUGGGUUUUGGUUUAUGUUCGUUGAUGAGGGAUUGUAAUACCCCGAUCAUUCCUUAAGCCUAAAUCUAUCUUUUUGAAUGGAUAUGUAUGACUUCUAAAGUGAUUGAUGUUUAAACCAUGUUGUAUUUAUCUAAUUCCUACUUUUUUUCAUGUAGAGCAUUGAAUAAGCUUUCCAUCGAUACCAAUUUCAUCAAAAUCUGACAUCGGACGAAGGAGUUAUGGCCAUUUUACUAAAUGGUAUCAGAACGCCCAGGUUUGACGGUCGACCUGGUGGACUGUCGGGUCCUUGGUGGACCGUCAAGUGUCCCGUCAAAAUAAGGCAGUAACUCUCUUUUGGGAUGUCGUGUGACGGUCAAAGUGGUGGACCUUCACAAAGUUGAUGGACCGUCAAGGUGUCCGUCAGACCGAGACAGAAUGUCUCAUUUCUGGCCCUCAGGUGACGGACGACUUGGUGGACCGUCACUUUUCUGAUGGACCGUCAGGUCAGCCAUCACGUCAAGGCAGAACAUUUUAGUUUUGGUGUUCGAUUGACGGACGACUUGGUGGACCGUCAGUCCCUCUGGCGGAUCGUCAGGUCGAUCGUCACAGGCCCCGAUUAGCAAUUUUCAACUCUUUUCAAAAGGGCAUUUUGAUCAUUUCCGCUCCUUUUAAGCCCUCUCUAUAUAUAUAUAUGUAUGUAUAGAAGAGAAGAACGUUUUUCUCUCUUUUCUCUCUAAUCUUCCAAGAAAUAUCUAGAAACCUAGGGUUUCUUCCAAGAUCCAAAGCCACUUUUCUUCCAAAUAAAUUCAAGAAUCCUCCAUAGUGAUUCAAAAACUGAGUUCCCCAAGUCAAAGGCAUCAAGGAUCUUGGCUCAAAAGUGUUAAGGAAAAGUUCCAAACAAGUGUCUACAUCUUCAAAAUCAAAAUCCAAGUUAUGUGAGGUUUGAACAAGAACACUCCUUUCGUUCUUGUGCCCAAAUAUUUACUUUCUAUUAUUGAUUUACAUGAUAUUGCAAGUGGGUUUACACCCAAAUUUCUCUAUUAAUGAUUUAUGAGAUUUGAGUUGAAUAAGUUUGAUAUUUUUGAUUAUUUCACUAUCAUGUUUCUUAAAUUGAGAAUUUAUUCCAUGAGCCGUAUAUUAUCAUUAUGUAUUGAUGAUUUCUAAGCAAUUUAAUUCAAGUUUCAUGUGUUGAAUAUUUUUAUUACGAAUUGAUGAUGUUUGAAUGAUUUGAGACAAGUGUCAUGAGUUAUGCCUUUCCAUGAGAAAUUCGACUAUUGAAUGUAUAUUGAUAUGUGAAAUUGAGAGGCAAGAAUGAGUCUUAUGAUGUUUCCAUGAAGUUUUUGAUAUUGAAAUGAUUUGAUAAACAAAUGUAUUUGAUACCGAGAAAGAUUGUGUUGAGUUGAGUUAGGAAUCCACAAGAUGUUUAUGAUUUACAAAUGAGAUAUAUUUAUGUUUUGGUCUUUAUGAUAGACCAAUGAGUUGAUAUUGAUUGAGGUGGAUUUCCUAAUGCGUUCUAAGCUGAGUCUGGGAGGAGUAUUUAGCACCGAGCGGGAAAUAUGGUAUUUCCCAGGAACUACGUACCACCGUAGGAUUGAUGUUGAUGAUUGUGGACCAAAGAACGAGUAUGAGAUUGUGAUAUUGAGAUUGAGGUUGUACUCCCUGGCAAGAGUACAACACCCCUGCCAAUGUGGGAUUCUCUCCCUAGGAGGGCAAAACGUUGGACUCUAUGCGGCUCACAUGGAGUAGUUAUGUCGGUUAUAAGAAACUCCCAUGUCCAUAAUGAUUUAAGUCUCUUGAGUUACCGGGUCAUUCUAAGUCAUGAGUUAAAGAGUUUGAGUUGAGAUAAAUGAUUUACGAGAUUUAUGAAGCAUGCAUUACUGCUGCUGAUUUAUGAGAAAAAUGUUUCAGAUAAUUCAAGCGAAGAGAAUUAUUAUGGUCAGCAUGCAUAAUUUUCUUAUACAUUUAUGAUAUUAUUUAAAAUGCUGCAUCCACCCCCACAUACUCAGUACAUUCCCAAGUACUGACCCCCAUACUCCUUUGUAUUCUAUAUUUCCUCGUGAUAUAGGUGCAGGUGCUCAGUCUCAGCAGCGACAGUGAUUUUUGAGUACCUUCCUCUACACUUUUGCAGCUGGUCAGUCCUCAUGGUUCGAGGACCUGUGUCUCCAGUUUUGUCUUGUUAAUAGAUGGUUGUUUACUUUCAGUUCAGUACGAGUCAGUUGGGGAUCUGUCCCAAUGGUUCCUCAGUCCUAUGUAGCAGAGCUUUGUCAGACUACAGCGUGUACAGAGAUUUCAGUAUUUUGUUUAUACAGGGCAGUAUUGUUUCAUGUGUUCAGUAUGUUCGUGACAUGGUUAUUCCUCUUUAUCUUAGCAUGAUUUCGCUAUAAUGAGUUCUGAAAGUGAUGACAAGUUUAGAGGGUUAGCUUGAGGCCACGUGUGGUCUUGAGCACCAUGUGACGUCUCGGGAUAGGUUCUUGGGGCGUUACAGGGAUUUUUCCACGUCAUCAGCUGGGUAGAAUUUUGGUGGUUUGAUGCCGGUGGUAAAGGACGGAGCAACGAUGGCGGUGGAUUUUGGGUGGCUGGGGAAUUUGCCGCCCUUUUUCUUCUUGAUAACCCAAAGAUCCUUUUUGUGGUACAUUUUGGAACGGAAGAAUUUACCGAUUCCAUUGAUUAGGUUAGGGUUACGAGGGAAUUUCUUGGCAGCCAUUGCUGUGAAGUGUGCAAAGGGCAUGUUGGAGUGAAAGGGGAACAAAAUGAAAGUGAAAUGCAAAGGGUAAGUUUGAGAAAGUGAAUAAAAAAUCCUCUUUAUUUUUUUCUCAAUAUUAAUAUUAUUUUUAACUUUUUUUAAUUAGUUUAAUAUAAAAUUGACCAAAAAUUGACCCCACUCGCACUUCAGGCGAGUGUAAUCACUCUCCUUAUCCUAAUCAGCAUUUUAAUGCCAUAUAGGCAAAGUCAACGGUCAAAGGGAUUAAAAUAUAGCUUUUUUGUGAGUUCAGGAGUCUAGAUGACAAACAUGUAAGUAGAAGUGUCCAACUUACAAAACCAACAUAGUACAGAGGUCCAGAAGAUCAUUUUGCCAAAAAAUUAAAAUUUCAUCUCAUAAUAAAAUACGUAAAAUUUCAUCUCACAAAAGAAGUGCAAGAUAUCAAAAUAAUUGAUAGUGCACUUUUUUAAUACACUAUCCAUUUACUUUAUGAAUAGUGCACUAAAAAAUGCACUAAACUAUAGAAAAAGGAGAAUAAUGCACAAAAGAAGUGCAGCAUAUAAAAAAUAAUUGAUAAUGUACUUUUUUUAGUGCACUAUUCAUAAAAUAAAUAGAUAGUGCACUUAUUUAGUGCACUAUCCAUAAAAAAAAUGGAUAGUGCCCUAUCCUAUUUUAACGGUGUCAAAAUGGGAAAAGGAUAUUGUGCACUUAUUUUGUGCAAACAACUCAUUUUUGUAACUUUUUAAAUCAGUGGCAUAGAUUGAUUCCUUUUUAAAUAUGAUGGCAUAUUUAGGCUCCGCAUUCACAUUUACUAGAAGACACACUCAUCAAACUACAAACGUUAUCGUUUUAUCUUUGUUUCUCUUUCUCUUUCUUCCUCCUAUUGGUAGAGGUGUGGAUGUUAUAGUUCAUACGGUUAUUUUAUACGGAAAAGGGCUAAAAUGCAAUAUGAAAUGGUGUAAACAUAUCCUUCAUCUCUCUAUUGGGCCUAAAAUAUCCUUUUGUCUACCUAAAAUGCCUUUUUCGUCUAUCUAUUAGGGCUAUUUUGUAUUUUUAUUUAAAAAAAAAUUAUAUAAUACUACAACUUAUAUUUAUUAAACUACAUAAAAUCCCUAUCAUUUUUAUUAAUAUCAACUAAAUAAAUAGUGCACAAUAUCAAUUUUUCGUCAUUCUAAAUUGAUCUGAUAAAUAAAAAAAACCUAAAUAGCCAUUUUAAAAAAUUAUUACAUAUACAGAGUCGUAUUAGUUGGUUGUCGACAUAUAAAAUAUUUAUUUUUAUAACAGAUUCUAAUAUAUAGAAAAAUAGUUAUAUAUUCAAUUUUCAUAUUUCUUAUUUAUUUCCUAUUUUUAUGAAAGCCUUUGUUCAUUCAUUUUUUUAAUAUACUAUAUCAAAAUUCUAUAUUUUUUAUUUUUAUUGCCUGCUUUCACGUUGCCUCCAUAAAAAUAUAUGAUAUAUUUAUAUCAUAAAAAUUUAUGGUAUAUUUAUAUAUUAUACAAAUUAUAUUUAUAUUAUAAAAAUACAUGAUAUAUUUAUACCAUAUAAAUUAUAUUUAUACCAUAAACAUACAUGGUAUUUAUUAUAUUAGAAUUAAAAAUACACAAUAAUGAAAUAAUACUAGAUGAUUAACAUACAUAAAAAUUAAACGAAACAUACACAAGCAAAUAAUGAAGUACUUAAUUUAUUUUAAAAUAUUUAAAUUUUGAAUAUAAGAGAGAGAGAUUUGAAAGCAGGGAUUAUCUUUUCCACUUUUAAUUUGAAUAUUGAAAAUAUGUAUCUUAAAUUAAGGUGAAUUGAUAAUUAGUUAUAACAUUAAAUUAGAAAUUAUAAUUAUCUUUUCUGUUUUUUUUAAAUGGCUAUAUGUAUAAAAAAUUAUUUUAAUAAUAUUGAAAAAAUAUUAUUCUUUAUGUAAUUAAGUUUUAAGGAUGACCUUUUCAUGUAAUUUGCCUAAAUAAAAGGGUAAAAUAGGCCCAAUAGGUAGAUGGAAAGAGCAUUUUAGGCUCAAUAGGUAGGUGAGAAGGGCAUUUUAGGCCCAAUAGGUAGAUAAGAAGGGCAUUUUAGGCUCAAUAGGUAGACAUAGGACAUUUUUACACCGUUUUUCAUAGUUGAAGAGCAUUUUAGGCCCUUUUCUGUAUUUUAUAAAAUUUAGAAAAAAUACAUAAAGUCCCUUUGAUGUUGUUCGACUUUUUAAAAAGGACACCUAAACUGUACUUUCGACCUAUUACCCCACGAAAUAAUUUAAAAGUGAUAUAAAUAUUCAUAUUUCAGCCAACUUCGGAUGCAGAAAAAAAGUGUAAGUCACACACCAAUAAAUACUUGCCACUUGGCACACUUAUUUAAUAUCCUAAUAUUUAUUUUUAUAUUUAUUUCUUUAUACUUCUUUUCCUUUAUCUUUUCUCCUUCUUCUUCUUCAUCAAUCUCCAUUAUACUUCUUCUUCAACCUCGUUCGUGGUUAGCUUUGGCAUAGCUAUCAUCACCAUUGUUACUAUAACUUUACAUCCAUUAUGUCUAUCAUCUAACCAUCCCCAAAUAAAAAUUAAAAUAAAAAAAUCAAAAUCUCCAUAAAAGUAACUAUAAAGUUUGACCACUUAUUAACCGAAAAUAAUUAAUCAAAAUUCUCUAAUAAAUCUGCUCAAUUCAUAAGAAAACACACAUUAAUUACAAAUUAGAGAAGAAAUUUAUCGAACAAAAAUCUUAAAGCAACAAAGAAGAACAGAAAAAAAAUAUAAAGAAAGAAGCAAGAAAAAUUUUAUGGAUCUUCCCAAGGAAGAAGAUG
This 29830-nucleotide long non-coding RNA is filed under the name Capsicum annuum. RNAcentral describes it as "long non-coding RNA (CANN_LNC000916)". The record is from RNAcentral. Lineage: Eukaryota; Viridiplantae; Streptophyta; Magnoliopsida; Solanales; Solanaceae.